UCCAAGCGCUUUCCGCUCACCCUAUCACCUCACCUUUACAAUGUCUGUCCACAGCAUCCUCUUCUCCUCCGAGCACGUGACGGAGGGCCAUCCAGACAAGUUGUGCGAUCAGGUAUCCGACGCCGUGCUUGACGCGUGCCUCGCCGGCGACCCGUUCUCGAAGGUUGCGUGCGAGUCGUGCGCGAAGACGGGCAUGGUGAUGGUGUUCGGCGAGAUCACGACGAAGGCAGUGCUAGACUACCAGAAGAUCGUCCGCAACACGAUCAAGGACAUUGGCUUCGAUUCCGCGGACAAGGGCCUGGACUAUGAGUCGUGCAAUGUGCUGGUUGCGAUUGAGCAGCAGUCGCCGGACAUCUGCCAGGGUCUGGGCAACUUCGAUAGCGAGGAUCUCGGCGCUGGCGACCAGGGCAUGAUGUUUGGCUACGCGACGGACGAGACGGAGACGCUGAUGCCGCUGACGUACGAGCUGGCCCGCGGCCUUGCGAAGAAGUACAGCGAGCUUCGCCGCGACGGCAGCCUGGAGUGGGCUCGCCCGGACGCGAAGACGCAGGUGACGGUGGAGUACGACUACGACACGCGCGAGGGCAAGCAGGUGCUGACGCCGAAGCGCGUGGCGGUGGUGCUGAUCUCUGCGCAGCACGACGAGCACGUGACGAACGAUAAGAUCAGCGUGGAUCUGAUGGAGAAGGUGAUCAAAGCUGUGAUCCCCGCGAACAUGCUGGACGCGGAGACGAAGUACUGGCUGAACCCGUCUGGCCGCUUCGUGCGCGGUGGGCCGCAUGGCGACGCCGGUCUGACUGGCCGCAAGAUCAUCGUAGACACGUACGGCGGCUGGGGCGCGCACGGCGGUGGCGCCUUCUCCGGCAAGGACCCUUCGAAGGUGGACCGCUCCGCCGCGUACGCCGCGCGCUGGAUCGCGAAGUCGAUCGUUGCGGGCGGCCUGGCGCGCCGCUGCCUUGUGCAGCUCGCGUACGCCAUCGGUGUAGCGGAGCCGCUGAGCAUGCACGUGGAGACGUACGGCACCGGCAAGUACGAUGACGCGAAGCUGCUGGAGAUCGUGAAGCAGAACUUCAAGCUGCGCCCGUACGACAUCAUCCAGGAGCUGAACCUGCGCCGCCCCAUCUACUACGAUACGUCGCGCUUCGGCCACUUCGGCCGUAAGGACGAGUUGGGCACGGGCGGGUUCACUUGGGAGGUGCCCAAGAAGAUGGUCGAGUAAGCGAAGUGCUUGCACAGGGGCGCGUUUCCGUGCAGGCGUACCGAGUGCGACGCACACCCCCUUCUAUCCCGCUGAACGGCUCAGCUCCCUUCUCAUCGACUGCGAGGUGUGCCGCUACUCAUGCAACCUCACUUCCCGGCAUAGUGCAGCGCUAUAAGGAGCUGCUGCCACGGCGUCACAUCUCCCAUCAUCAUUCAUUCCCCCACCCCCUUUCGGGCCUUUCCCUCUGUGUGCUUUUCUCCGCGCUGAUCAUGUUGGGUAACAGACGUGUGAUGCGUUUUUGUUUUCUCUUCUACGUCCACUUGUUAAUCUGGUUUCAGCGUUUGUGUGUCUGCGCGUUUGUGCACUCUUUCUGUUUUCAUCUCCCGUGUUUCCGCCUUCCCUCCCCCUUUUUUUUUCUUGCGUGUUUCCGUUAAAAUAGCCCGACCGACGAUGUGAAGAGCCCCUACACCACAUUGUGGAAUGCCGCGGCUUGAUGCGACUGCGGGGGAAAGAUGGCACCUAUGCCGAGUGCAGGGCCUCAGAGGGCCCUGCCCUGAGGCUGGCCAACCUCCUCCCUGAGUCCAUUCGGCAUGCACCUGGACCGCCCUCUGUUACCCGCGCGACGGACGCCACCGCUUUCGCCCUCGAGCCGGACCCUGGACGCAGCCCGCAUUGGAUAAUCGAGGCGUGCAGCUCAGCCAGGCCCGAGUGGCGCCAACCGCGCGGCACGUACCCGAAGAGGGGACGAGGCGGGAGAGGAGGGGCCCCGCUAGACGCAUGUCCCGAUUCGACGGCAUGACGGUUGCUCCUAGACGGCCAGGACGUCGCCGCAGCGCGGCAGUGGGCGCGUGGGCUGCAACUGUGCAUGCGUGUGCCUUUGCUGGCUUGCGCGUGGUUUAAUGGCACGUUGUAGCGUAGAGGCGUGAAAUGACUGAUGCGUUUCUGUCUAAGUGCGUGUCAGGUGCUCUCGAUGCUCUCAGUGCUCUCAGUGAAUGGCGCGCUGUCGACAGGGGGGGGUGCCGUCAAACAUACUUUACGGCGGUCAUGGGCCCUCAGGUAAAAGCGACGCUCUUGUUUUGUGUUUUUUUUUUGAGGAUGUUGGUUUGCUUAGAAGCGCGCUGUGUACUUGAUGCAGUGUUAGGCCUCCAACUCUGUAGUGCUUUCUCAACUUUAGUCUGAAUAUGGCUUGCGCACAUGACGGUGGGUGCGCUAAUGGGAUAUGCUAAGAGGAACG
Molecule: unclassified non-coding RNA, 2435 nt
Filed under: Leishmania donovani
Lineage: Eukaryota; Euglenozoa; Kinetoplastea; Trypanosomatida; Trypanosomatidae
Description: gene:LdHU3.30.4760(CDS-product:S-adenosylmethioni ne_synthetase)
Source: RNAcentral